GUUAAGUGUAGAACCGUGGCAGAUUCCCUUCUGAAGAUUAAAAAACAAAAUCUUUGAACAGUUUUCUUCUUCACGCAAACCUGAAAAUUUUCGUCUCCAUCUCCGCCGCGAUCGAGUUGCGACCUUUCUUCCGUCAUUGUGCUUGCAUUGCUCCGACCACCAUUCUUCUCCACCGGCCCUGCUUCUCUACUGCACCGUUGCUUCUCUGUUGCGCCGUUCUUCUCCUGCGAGCUAACCAACCUGGUUUGAUUUCUCCUGCGCCCUUCUUAUGCUCUU
RNAcentral lists this long non-coding RNA (276 nucleotides) under Vigna radiata. RNAcentral's name for it is "long non-coding RNA (VRAD_LNC003401)". The record is from RNAcentral. Lineage: Eukaryota; Viridiplantae; Streptophyta; Magnoliopsida; Fabales; Fabaceae.